Molecule: long non-coding RNA, 1045 nt
Organism: Haliotis rubra (blacklip abalone)
Lineage: Eukaryota; Metazoa; Mollusca; Gastropoda; Lepetellida; Haliotidae
Exons: 2
Source: RefSeq, a predicted model, not a curated record
UAUAUGUUGUUGAAAACUGGAAAUAUCACAGACUAGUUACUACAUUGCACUAUCUUACACCUGCCAAGGGUCACGUUGAUAACGAUCAUAGGACACAAUCUGGGACGAGUAUCUGUGAAGAAUAGAAGCAAGGUGCAUUACGUUUAUUUAUAGUGUAUGUUUAUAUCUUACCUGCCAGGGGUCACAUUGAUAGUGAGCAUAGGACAAAAUCUGGGACGAGUUUCUGUGCAGAUAAUAGAAGCAAGGUGCAUUACGUUUAUCUAUAUUGUAUGUGUAUAUCUCACCUCCAGGGGUCACACUGAUGACGUGCAUAGGACAAAAUCUGGGACGAGCAUCUGUGAAGCUAAUAGAAGCAAGGUGCAUUACGUUUAUCUAUAUUGUAUGUUUAUAUCUCAUGGACAAAUCACGCGCGUGCCACAUAUACGUUCGUGGCAUACUCUCAACUGGCCAUCGAUACUUCGGUCAAAGUAAAUGACAUAAUCUCAAGGUCACAAUAUGAAGGUUAUUGUAAGUUUUGUCAGUAAAUGGAAUAGGUAUAUAAUACGGACGACAGUCACAAAUCAUUCGGUGGUUGUCUGGUAACUUCAUUCAUGUUUGUAAUUUUACUAUCUUCUACUUUGAUAAAUCUUUACCAUUUGUUUCUGUGUUAACUUUAAUCUAUUGUACAUAUCUUUAGACCCUUGGCACUACCUUCACGUGUAUGUGGAACGUGGCAUCCUUUCACAUAUUUCUGUUUAGGAUUAUUUAUUUAAUACUGAAUAACACUUCGCGGUUUUGUGACUUAUAGAUUGUAUAGAGUGUGUCGGGUACCCUAACUACUAGUAUUACAUUACGUUGUGGGCACUCUGCUGUUUUGUGACUGUAUGGAUACCCACUGUAUUGAACUAUUGUAUUACGUUGUGAUAAAUGCGUAACGAAUCUACAUGUGAUGUUUAUGUACUUUGAAAGCUGAUUGCGUUGUGAACAUGUUUUAAGAAUUAAUUAUUGACUGAUUAUGUAAUAUAAGAUCCUGUGACUGCUGAGUAAUAAACUCCCCGUUUAUUUA